This 646-nucleotide ribosomal RNA is filed under the name uncultured Sebacina. RNAcentral describes it as "eukaryotic LSU rRNA". The stretch from base 233 to 386 matches the Rfam family "5.8S ribosomal RNA". The record is from RNAcentral. Lineage: Eukaryota; Fungi; Basidiomycota; Agaricomycetes; Sebacinales; Sebacinaceae.
UCUUGGUCAUUUAGAGGAAGUAAAAGUCGUAACAAGGUUUCCGUAGGUGAACCUGCGGAAGGAUCAUUAUUGAUUGUGAAUGUUGCCUUCAGUGCUGGCUCCGGCAAGUGCACGCUGGUGACUUCAAUCCAAUACCCUGUGCACCAUUGGCCUCUGCUGGCUUCGGCUGGUUGAGGAUAUUUACACCACUCGAAUGUAAUGAAAUUAUUGUUGUGCGCAAGCACGAAUGUACAACUUUCAACAACGGAUCUCUUGGCUCUCGCAUCGAUGAAGAACGCAGCGAAAUGCGAUAAGUAAUGUGAAUUGCAGAAUUCAGUGAAUCAUCGAAUCUUUGAACGCACCUUGCACCCUUUGGCAUUCCGAAGGGUAUGCUCGUUUGAGUGUCAUUGUACUCUCACACUUCCAAUUCUUUGGAUUGGGAGCGGUGGACUUGGGUGCUGCUGCUUACCGUGGCUCACCUCAAAUGUGUUAGUGCAACCGUUGGUUAGACAUAGUACAGCGUGAUAAGUAUCUUCGCUGGCGCCUCACUCGAGGGUGGCUGAUCAGGGCUCUGUGCUUCCAAUCGUCUUCGGACAAUGGCUGACAACUUGACCUCAAAUCGAGUAGGACUACCCGCUGAACUUAAGCAUAUCAAUAAGCGGAGGAA